GAGUUUGAUCCUGGCUCAAGAUGAACGCUGGCGGCGUGCCUAACACAUGCAAGUCGAACGGGGUAUAUAAGCGGAAGUUUACGGAUGGAAGGUUAUAUACUUAGUGGCGGACGGGUGAGUAACGCGUGGGCAACCUGCCCCGUGCCGGGGGAUACCGCCUGGAAACAGGCGCUAAUACCGCAUAAGCGCAUACAGCCGCAUGGGUGUAUGCGGAAAGCUCCGGCGGCACGGGAUGGGCCCGCGCCCGAUUAGCCAGUUGGCGGGGUAACGGCCCACCAAAGCGACGAUCGGUAGCCGGCCUGAGAGGGCGGACGGCCACAUUGGGACUGAGACACGGCCCAAACUCCUACGGGAGGCAGCAGUGGGGAAUAUUGCACAAUGGGGGAAACCCUGAUGCAGCAACGCCGCGUGGGUGAAGGAGCGUUUCGGCGCGUAAAGCCCUGUCAGCGGGGAAGAAGAAAGACGGUACCCGACCAAGAAGCCCCGGCUAACUACGUGCCAGCAGCCGCGGUAAUACGUAGGGGGCGAGCGUUAUCCGGAAUUACUGGGUGUAAAGGGAGCGUAGACGGCGAGGUAAGCCUGAAGUGGAAGCCCGCGGCCCAACCGCGGAACUGCUUUGGGAACUGUUUUGCUGGANUAUGGGAAGGG
RNAcentral lists this ribosomal RNA (648 nucleotides) under uncultured bacterium. Its description in RNAcentral is "bacterial SSU rRNA". It matches the Rfam family "Bacterial small subunit ribosomal RNA", at positions 9 to 657 of the family's 1533-position model. The record is from RNAcentral.